Molecule: ribosomal RNA, 463 nt
Filed under: uncultured bacterium
Lineage: Bacteria
Description: partial 16S ribosomal RNA
Rfam family: Bacterial small subunit ribosomal RNA
Source: RNAcentral
GACGAACGCUGGCGGCGUGCUUAACACAUGCAAGUCGAACGGAAAGGCCCUUCGGGGUCCUCGAGUGGCGAACGGGUGAGUAACACGUGGGUGAUCUGCCCUGCACUUUGGGAUAAGCCUGGGAAACUGGGUCUAAUACCGAAUAGGACCACGCGCUUCAUGGUGUGUGGUGGAAAGCUUUUGCGGUGUGGGAUGGGCCCGCGGCCUAUCAGCUUGUUGGUGGGGUAAUGGCCUACCAAGGCGACGACGGGUAGCCGGCCUGAGAGGGUGACCGGCCACACUGGGACUGAGAUACGGCCCAGACUCCUACGGGAGGCAGAAGUGGGGAAGAUUGAACAAUGGGCGCAAGCCUGAUGCAGCGACGCCGCGUGAGGGAUGACGGCCUUCGGGUUGUAAACCUCUUUCAAUAGGGACGAAGCGCAAGUGACGGUACCUAUAGAAGAAGCACCGGCCAACUACGUGC